GUCUAUAGCCAUGUAACACUUAACAAGCCUGAUCUUGUCUGAUCUCAGCAGCUAAGCAGGGUUGAGCAUGGAUGAGAGACCACCUAGGAAGACCAGGUGCUGUAGGCA
Molecule: ribosomal RNA, 108 nt
Filed under: Pteropus alecto (black flying fox)
Lineage: Eukaryota; Metazoa; Chordata; Mammalia; Chiroptera; Pteropodidae
Source: RNAcentral